RNAcentral lists this ribosomal RNA (79 nucleotides) under Philodendron goeldii. Its description in RNAcentral is "partial 18S ribosomal RNA". The record is from RNAcentral. Lineage: Eukaryota; Viridiplantae; Streptophyta; Magnoliopsida; Alismatales; Araceae.
CUGCCAGUAGUCAUAUGCUUGUCUCAAAGAUUAAGCCAUGCAUGUGCAAAUAUGAACGAAUUUCAGACUGUGAAACUGC